GUUGCUUGGCCGAGUGGUUAAGGCGUGUGGUUGCUUACGAAGGCGAGAGUUUGAAUCUCACAAUCGACA
RNAcentral lists this transfer RNA (69 nucleotides) under Salix viminalis (osier). Lineage: Eukaryota; Viridiplantae; Streptophyta; Magnoliopsida; Malpighiales; Salicaceae. The record is from RNAcentral.